UACGUAGGGGGCUAGCGUUGUCCGGAAUCAUUGGGCGUAAAGAGCGUGUAGGCGGCUCGGUAAGUCCGCUGUGAAAGUCCAGGGCUCAACCCUGGAAUGCCGGUGGAAACUGUCGAGCUAGAGUCCGGAAGAGGAGAGUGGAAUUCCUGGUGUAGCGGUGAAAUGCGCAGAUAUCAGGAAGAACACCCGUGGCUAAGGCGGCUCUCUAGUACGGUACUGACGCUGAGACGCGAAAGCGUGGGGAGCGAACAGG
RNAcentral lists this ribosomal RNA (253 nucleotides) under uncultured bacterium. RNAcentral's name for it is "partial 16S ribosomal RNA". It matches the Rfam family "Bacterial small subunit ribosomal RNA", at positions 524 to 776 of the family's 1533-position model. The record is from RNAcentral.